GGGCAUAAAAGUGUGCGUAGGCGGGCGUAUAAGUCAGUGGUGAAAGUCCUGGGAGCUUAACUCCAGAACUGCCAUUGAUACUAUAUGUCUUGAAUAUGGUGGAGGUAAGCGGAAUAUGUCAUGUAGCGGUGAAAUGCAUAGAUAUGACAUAGAACACCUAUUGCGAAGGCAGCUUACUACGCCUAUAUUGACGCUGAGGCACGAAAGCGUGGGGAUCAAACAGGAUUUAGAUACCCUGGUAGUCCACGCCCUAAACGAUGAUUACUCGACGUGUGCGAUAAACGGUACGCGUCUGAGCGAAAGCAUUAAGUAAUCCACCUGGGAAUACGACCGCAAGGUUGAAACU
RNAcentral lists this ribosomal RNA (346 nucleotides) under uncultured bacterium. RNAcentral describes it as "bacterial SSU rRNA". It matches the Rfam family "Bacterial small subunit ribosomal RNA", at positions 556 to 901 of the family's 1533-position model. The record is from RNAcentral.